UGACCUAGCGGCGGACGGGUGAGUAAUACUUAGGAAUCUGCCUAUUAAUGGGGGACAACAUCUCGAAAGGGAUGCUAAUACCGCAUACGCCCUACGGGGGAAAGCAGGGGAUCACUUGUGACCUUGCGUUAAUAGAUGAGCCUAAGUCGGAUUAGCUAGUUGGUGGGGUAAAGGCCUACCAAGGCGACGAUCUGUAGCGGGUCUGAGAGGAUGAUCCGCCACACUGGGACUGAUACACGGCCCAGACUCCUACGGGAGGCAGCAGUGGGGAAUAUUGGUCAAUGGUCGGAAGACUGAACCAGCCAUGCCGCGUGCAGGAAGACGGUCCUAUGGAUUGUAAACUGCUUUUAUUUGGGAAUAAACACU
Molecule: ribosomal RNA, 366 nt
Filed under: uncultured Acinetobacter sp.
Lineage: Bacteria; Pseudomonadati; Pseudomonadota; Gammaproteobacteria; Moraxellales; Moraxellaceae
Description: bacterial SSU rRNA
Rfam family: Bacterial small subunit ribosomal RNA
Source: RNAcentral